CUAAUGGCUUCAUCGAAUCGUAGAUUUAACUUCUGCUUGCCUUCUUUGAUCCAUAAAUGGACUUCUUAGGCUUGCAUACUUUCCCAACAUUGCUUGGAUCAACAAAACCUUCCGGUUGUGUCAUGUACACAGUUUCUUCAAAAAUCCCAUUAAGGAAGGCGAUUUUGACAUCCAUUUACCAUAUUGCAUAAUCAUAAUAUGCGUCAAUUGCUAGGAUAAUCGAGACGGACUUACACUAGUAGAAACACUUAAAUGAGCAUCGCAAAAUGCAAACUUAAAAACCAGUGCAAUAAAAAACAAGCGGGGUUGAGGGAAAGAGUAAUCGCAUCGGUUUAAACCAAACCAGUGCGAAAAUGAGUUAAUCGCACCAGUUCGAACCAAUGCGAAUGUUAAUGUAGAAAAAAACCGAUCUUUUAUCUUCUUUCUUUCUCUUUAUGUCUUCUUUCUUUCACUUUCCUCGAUAUAUCCUCCUCUCUCAUCUGCCUAUCUCUCAUCUACAACAAUGGAGGCUCUUUCCUUAAACUCCUCUCUCCUUCAAUCUCCUUCUCCAUAACCGCCGCUUUCCCUUUCCUUUUCUCUCUCCUUCGAUCUCUUUCUCCAUAACUGCGCCGCAAGCAAUGCCGCUCUCCUUCUCCUUCUCAGUCCAAAAUCAACGUCAUUAGAACCAAGCACAACCACCAUCGCCGCCGUCAUCAAUUUGAACCAAAUAUAACAACAACAACAACAACAACAACAACAACAAACUUGAAUCAAUUAUCGAUUCAAAAAUCACAAAUUCGAGGCUGACAUGCAUGUAAGGUAGAAAAUUUUGGCACUUCUAGAUUCAUGGAAAGAAGCAUUUGGUGGUCUAGGUGGAAAUUAUGGUCUUGUGAUGAACUGAGGGUAAGCUCAUUCAGCUUAUGUUUUUGAGUGCUUGGGCACUCGUAGAUAUUAUAAACUCCCAUUUAGGUAGUUAUGGGACUUCAUCCCUUGUCAGAAUUGUGUCGUAGUCCUAAAUGAGUACUACAUGGAAAGCACGUUAAGUUUGAGCUUUCUGAUAUCUGUGCUUGUAUUCUGAAGCUUCUCAAUUCUCAUCUCACUCCUAGUGUUUCUGUUAGUGAAUCAAGAGUCUUCUACUUGAAGAUGAAGGGAGAUUAUAUCAUUGUUAUAUGGCUGACUGUAAAUCUUGUGAUGGAAGGAAACUUCUGCUGAAGAUACUAUGAAUUCUUACAAAGCUGCUCAUCCGGUUUGUGUGUUUUAUUUUAGUUUUCUUUAUUUUAUUUUAUUUUUGUUUUGUGCCGUUUUAUAGGGUUUAGAUGUUCAAUUUUGCGGAGAUCUGUUUGAAUUUAUUUUGACCUAAAAGAUUUAAUUCAAUUUGUAUUUGUUAUUUUGUAUUUUUUUUUCUCUGAUUUUGCUGCUCUAUAUACUGAGAUAUGGAAGAAUAACUAAGAUUCGAGCUAACAAUCGCUAAAUGAAUGCUUAAUGUUGUUUGUUUUAGUUACUAAAGUUACUAAACAUAAUAUAUUGGUGGAAUGACUGAGAUUUGAUACUUGAAUAUGCAUAUAUUGGAUGUAUUUUGAAUAAUUAAGAAAAUUCCUGCAGUUUUAUAGGAGUAUUUGGAUGUAUAUUAAGUUUCUUGCAAUAUAACAGGAGUUUGGAUGUAUUUUGCAUAUUUGAGUAUAUUUUUGCUGUUUUAAUACGAAUAUUUAGAUAUUAUUUUGGAUAUUUGAGAACAUUCCUCCAGUUUAAUAGAAAUAUUGAUGUGUUGUGGAUAUGAUAUGUGUCGGUAGAAUAUUGUAGUUGAAAUGAAUAACGAUGAGAAUGUUGGUGAGAAGAAUAUUUUUGAUUUAUUGGUUUUGAAUGCUAGAUUGAAGUGAGGUAUUAUUUGAACUGGAUUGUUAACUCUCUGGAUUUGGAUGAAGUUUAAUUUAGAGACUUGUUUCAGUACUAAUUACCAACAUACUUGUAGUAUACUAGCUCACGCUUGUUUCAUUUUAAAAGUGGAGUGCAAGGAUAGAGUGAGACAGUAUUGAGUAAUGGAUUUGAUUAUUGCUUUUCUGGAUUUGUUGGCCUAAUUUGGUUGGGAAUAUGCAAUGCAAGGAUACAAGCCUUUGAUAGAAGUUGGAAAAAAAAACGUGCAAGAGCAGCUGAGUAUCUGGUUAGAUCUUGGAUGGAAGAAUCAUAUCCAGACAUUAAUAGUCGUAUAAUUUCUUACAUUAUUGGACUUGAUAGCCUGAAAGCAUUCUGCAAUGAAAGUAUUACCUCAAUAGCGACUGGAUGCCAAGACAUAAGGCUACGCAUGGAUGGACUAUUUGAGGUUAAGGAGCAUGCAAUCAAAUUUGUCAGAGAAUUCACUACUUUAUAUACAAAUGGGUGAAUUUUUAACUUUUUACUUUUUAUAGUUCAUGUUUGUCCUAUGGUAUAACAAGUGGAUCACAUUUGUAGGCUCAGCCUUAGAGCACAACCUCUACGCCUACAGCUAUUGUGCCAGCACUAAUUGCACCUCAAGCUCAGUAAAUUCUUGAAGUAUUUUCUUUUUAAUCUUCCUACUUUGGUGUACCAAUUAUUAUUAUUAAUAUUCAACACUGAAAGUUUCUAGGCUUGUAUGAUACAUGAUCUUUGUUACUGUGCUUAUAAAUACUAUUUUGUUAUGUUAGGACGCAGACAGCUACAGAACAUGUUGUUGCAGCUGCCGUGAGUCCCUUGACUGAUGCAGUUGCUGCUUCAUGAGUUUUAACCGUUUCUUAGAUCUUCUAAGCAAUGUUUUCCAUCAAAAUCACUACUUUGCGGAACUUAUGAAUAAAUACGAACUUAAUUACUUGUAUGCUGAGGAAACGCAAAUGUCUAUGGCUAGGUUGCAUCUAAUUUAGUUAUGGGAAGCAAUUUGGAGAGCAUCGUUCAGCAAAUUCUUGAUAUGGGUGGAGGAAGUUGGGACAAGGUUACUGUUGUUCGUGCUUUGCAUGCUGCUUAUAACAACCCUAAGAGGGCUGUCGAAUAUUUGUACUCUGUAUGUUUAUAUGCUACUAAUUAGUCCUUCAUGCUCCCCCCUCCCACUUUAAUUCAUAAACGAGCAUACACUGUGCUUGAUUCACUCUAAAAUUCUUGCAAAGGUGUUAAGGUUCAGGAUUAUCUUUGUAAAUCCAUCUUGUUACUGCAUUUGACUUUAAUAGUGCCUCAUAUUUGGUUCUUUUGAUAAAGAAUGUUCUACUUCGGCAUUGUGCCAUCAAUUGGACUCUGUUAUGAUUAAUUUACUUGUAAUCACCCACAAUGGGAGUGCCAAGAGUUUCAGCACAGUGGACUCGCAGCUACAAGUGUUUAUUGUGAUAUGUUGUUACAAUUUUUUUUUUUCAAUUUUAUUUUAUUUGUGUGCGACCUUAUAUUUUAUUUUAUUU
This is a long non-coding RNA of Chenopodium quinoa (quinoa), 3371 nucleotides long. RefSeq lists it as uncharacterized. The record is from RefSeq and is a predicted model, not a curated record. Lineage: Eukaryota; Viridiplantae; Streptophyta; Magnoliopsida; Caryophyllales; Amaranthaceae. The transcript has 3 exons.